Cynocephalus volans (Philippine flying lemur) is the source of this 435-nucleotide non-coding RNA. NCBI's taxonomy places the organism in Eukaryota, Metazoa, Chordata, Mammalia, Dermoptera, Cynocephalidae. The record is from the annotation of a RefSeq genome assembly.
CAAAGGCCCUGUACUGGGACAACCCACAUGUGCUCUCACCCUGCCAUGAGCACCCAGACUCUCUGCUGGGUGGCCCUUUGCAUUCUGAUGGCGAAGCACACAGAUGCUCAGGUCACCCAGACACCCAGGCAUGAGGUGACAGAGAUGGGACAAGCAGUGAUUCUGAGAUGUGAGCCAAUUUCAGGCCACAACGACCUUUUCUGGUACAGACAGACUGUGGUACAGGGCCUGGAGCUGCUGAUUCACUUCAGCUAUCAGACUCCCAGGAAAAAUGCAGGGAUGCCCAAGGAACGAUUCUCAGCUCAGAUGCCUGACGCCUCAGUCUCCACUCUGAAGAUCCAGCCCACAGAACCCGGGGACUCAGCCACGUACCUCUGUGCCAGCAGCACAGACACAGCGCCGCAGGAUCCUCCCCUCCCUGUGCACAAACCCUGA